UACGGAGGAUGCGAGCGUUAUCCGGAUUUAUUGGGUUUAAAGGGUGCGUAGGCGGACGCUUAAGUCAGCGGUGAAAUUGCGGGGCUCAACCUCGUCGAGCCGUUGAAACUGGGUGCCUUGAGUGGGCGAGAAGUACGCGGAAUGCGUGGUGUAGCGGUGAAAUGCAUAGAUAUCACGCAGAACUCCGAUUGCGAAGGCAGCGCACCGGCGCCCAACUGACGCUGAAGCACGAAGGCGUGGGUAUCGAACAGG
This 252-nucleotide ribosomal RNA is filed under the name uncultured bacterium. RNAcentral describes it as "partial 16S ribosomal RNA". It matches the Rfam family "Bacterial small subunit ribosomal RNA", at positions 524 to 776 of the family's 1533-position model. The record is from RNAcentral.